This is a long non-coding RNA of Lonchura striata (white-rumped munia), 431 nucleotides long. The record is from Ensembl. NCBI's taxonomy places the organism in Eukaryota, Metazoa, Chordata, Aves, Passeriformes, Estrildidae.
CUCCUCUCUUUCAGGACAGGAGAAAUCAUUAAGCUCCUCCCAUCUUUGCCAGAAGCUUCAGUGUUUAAGCAGCCAAAGCCAAGAGGCUUCAGCACCAGGGGUGUGCACUGGAGGGCUCCUGGUCCUGCCCACGCCAUGGGGGAGCCAGGGCUGGCACAAGGACUCGUGCAGGUGCCGCUCUGGCACGGGAGCCGUUGCCCUGUGGAGCCAUUUUAAAGGUGUGAUUAUGGAACAUUUUGGAGGCCGUUUCUGGAAUUCCAUUUGUAGCUGGAUCUCGCUCCGAGUGCAGCGGUCCAGGUGAGGGUUCUGACCUCUCCAGACUUGUGCUCACCUUGGUACAGCCUGUGGCUGAAGCAGUUUUCCAGGGAAGUGGAGAUGGCUGAGGACCGGCGCUCUGGGAAGCAGGGACCUGCUGGGAUUUGCAUUUGCAA